RNAcentral lists this ribosomal RNA (253 nucleotides) under uncultured bacterium. Its description in RNAcentral is "partial 16S ribosomal RNA". It matches the Rfam family "Bacterial small subunit ribosomal RNA", at positions 524 to 776 of the family's 1533-position model. The record is from RNAcentral.
UACAGAGGGUGCAAGCGUUGUUCGGAAUUACUGGGCGUAAAGCGCGUGUAGGCUGCGAUGUAAGUCAGGCGUGAAAGCCCUCAGCUUAACUGAGGAAGUGCACUUGAUACUGCAUCGCUCGAGUGUCGGAGGGGGUGGCGGAAUUCCCGGUGUAGAGGUGAAAUUCGUAGAUAUCGGGAGGAACACCUGUGGCGAAGGCGGCCACCUGGACGACAACUGACGCUGAGACGCGAAAGCGUGGGUAGCAAACAGG